Molecule: ribosomal RNA, 429 nt
Filed under: Acidobacteriota bacterium
Lineage: Bacteria; Pseudomonadati; Acidobacteriota
Description: Acidobacteria bacterium partial 16S ribosomal RNA
Rfam family: Bacterial small subunit ribosomal RNA
Source: RNAcentral
UGGGGAAUUUUGGACAACGGGGGAAACCCUGAUCCAGCCAUCCCGCGUGUGCGAUGAAGGCCUUCGGGUUGUAAAGCACUUUUGGCAGGAAAGAAACGUCAUGGGUUAAUACCCCGUGAAACUGACGGUACCUGCAGAAUAAGCACCGGCUAACCACGUGCCAGCAGCCGCGGUAAUACGUAGGGUGCAAGCGUUAAUCGGAAUUACUGGGCGUAAAGCGUGCGCAGGCGGUUCGGAAAGAAAGAUGUGAAAUCCCAGAGCUCAACUUUGGAACUGCAUUUUUAACUACCGGGCUAGAGUGUGUCAGAGGGGGGUGGAAUUCCGCGUGUAGCAGUGAAAUGCGUAGAUAUGCGGAGGAACACCGAUGGCGAAGGCAGCCUCCUGGGAUAACACUGACGCUCAUGCACGAAAGCGUGGGGAGCAAACAGG